This 497-nucleotide ribosomal RNA is filed under the name uncultured bacterium. RNAcentral's name for it is "partial 16S ribosomal RNA". It matches the Rfam family "Bacterial small subunit ribosomal RNA", at positions 28 to 507 of the family's 1533-position model. The record is from RNAcentral.
GAUGAACGCUGGCGGCGUGCCUAAUACAUGCAAGUCGAGCGAACAGAUGAGGAGCUUGCUCCUCUGACGUUAGCGGCGGACGGGUGAGUAACACGUGGAUAACCUACCUAUAAGACUGGGAUAACUUCGGGAAACCGGAGCUAAUACCGGAUAAUAUAUUGAACCGCAUGGUUCAAUAGUGAAAGAGGGUUUUGCUGUCACUUAUAGAUGGAUCCGCGCCGCAUUAGCUAGUUGGUAAGGUAACGGCUUACCAAGGCAACGAUGCGUAGCCGACCUGAGAGGGUGAUCGGCCACACUGGAACUGAGACACAGUCCAGACUCCUACGGGAGGCAGCAGUAGGGAAUCUUCCGCAAUGGGCGAAAGCCUGACGGAGCAACGCCGCGUGAGUGAUGAAGGUCUUCGGAUCGUAAAACUCUGUUAUUAGGGAAGAACAAAUGUGUAAGUAACUAUGCACGUCUUGACGGUACCUAAUCAGAAAGCCACGGCUAACUACGUG